This 468-nucleotide ribosomal RNA is filed under the name uncultured bacterium. RNAcentral describes it as "partial 16S ribosomal RNA". It matches the Rfam family "Bacterial small subunit ribosomal RNA", at positions 28 to 507 of the family's 1533-position model. The record is from RNAcentral.
GACGAACGCUGGCGGCGUGCUUAACACAUGCAAGUCGAACGGAAAGGCCCUGCUUUUGUGGGGUGCUCGAGUGGCGAACGGGUGAGUAACACGUGAGUAACCUGCCCUUGACUUUGGGAUAACUUCAGGAAACUGGGGCUAAUACCGGAUAGGAGCUCCUGCUGCAUGGUGGGGGUUGGAAAGUUUCGGCGGUUGGGGAUGGACUCGCGGCUUAUCAGCUUGUUGGUGGGGUAGUGGCUUACCAAGGCUUUGACGGGUAGCCGGCCUGGGAGGGUGACCGGCCACAUUGGGACUGAGAUACGGCCCAGAAUCCUACGGGAGGCAGCAGUGGGGAAUAUUGCACAAUGGGCGGAAGCCUGAUGCAGCAACGCCGCGUGCGGGAUGACGGCCUUCGGGUUGUAAACCGCUUUCGCCUGUGACGAAGCGUGAGUGACGGUAAUGGGUAAAGAAGCACCGGCUAACUACGUG